CAAAAGCCUAGUCCUGAACUUUAUUAUCAAUUAUAACCCGAAUUACACAUGCAAGUACCCGCACCCCCGUGAAAAUGCCCUUUGACCUCUAACCCCAGGGGGAAAGGAGCUGGCAUCAGGCACACAAGUGUAGCCCAAAACGCCUUGCUUAGCCACGCCCCCAAGGGAACUCAGCAGUGAUAAACAUUAAGCCAUGGGCGAAAGCCCGACUUAGUCAAGGAUAAUCAGAGCCGGUAAAACUCGUGCCAGCCACCGCGGUUAUACGAGGGGCUCAGAUUGAUACUACUCGGCGUAAAGCGUGAUUAAAGAAUAACAACAACUAAAGCCAAACACCCCCUAAGCUGUCAUACGCUAACGGAGGCAGGAGGCCCCACAACGAAAGUAGCUUUAACAACUCUUGAUCUCACGACCAUUAAGAAACAAACCGGGAUUAGAUACCCCGUUAUGCUUAGUUGUAAACAAUGAUGGCAACAUACAAAUACCAUCCGCCAGGGGACUACGAGCACUAGCUUAAAACCCAAAGGACUUGGCGGUGCCUCAAACCCACCUAGAGGAGCCUGUUCUAUAACCGAUGAUCCCCGUUAAACCUCACCACUCCUUGUUAAUCCAGCCUAUAUACCGCCGUCGCCAGCUUACCUCAUGAGAGACCAACAGUAAGCUAAAUGAGUAAUACCCAACACGUCAGGUCGAGGUGUAGCAAAUGAAGUGGGAAGAAAUGGGCUACAUUUUCUGACCCAGAAUAUAACGAAAAGUGCCAUGAAAAAGCACAGCUGAAGGUGGAUUUAGCAGUAAAGAGAAAACAGAGAGUUCUUUUGAAGCCGGCUCUGAGGCGCGUACACACCGCCCGUCAUUCUCCUCGAGACAAACCAGAACAAUUUAUAAUUACCUGAACAAUAAAAGAGGAGGCAAGUCGUAACAUGGUAAGUGUACCGGAAGGUGCCCUUGGAAAAAC
Molecule: non-coding RNA, 952 nt
Filed under: Derichthys serpentinus (narrownecked oceanic eel)
Lineage: Eukaryota; Metazoa; Chordata; Actinopteri; Anguilliformes; Derichthyidae
Description: 12S rRNA
Rfam family: Bacterial small subunit ribosomal RNA
Source: RNAcentral